UCCAACUUAUCGCUGGCGGUCUCCUGAGAGUGCUCCCUUACGGGGUGGCAACACAGGACAAGGGUUGCGCUCGUUGCGGGACUUAACCCAACAUCUCACGACACGAGCUGACGACAGCCAUGCAGCACCUCGACUCAAGUCCCUUGCGGGAAGUCCCUGUUUCCAAAGAUUUUCUUAAGCCGUUCGAGCCCAGGUAAGGUUCUUCGCGUUGCGUCGAAUUGAACCACAUGCUCCACCGCUUGUGCGGGCCCCCGUCAAUUCCUUUGAGUUUCAACCUUGCGGUCGUACUCCCCAGGCGGGGUACUUCCUGCGUUAGCGCCGGCACCCAGAGGGUCGCUCCCCCAGGCACCUAGUACCCAUCGUUUACGGCGUGGACUAC
RNAcentral lists this unclassified non-coding RNA (379 nucleotides) under uncultured bacterium. RNAcentral describes it as "contains 16S-23S intergenic spacer region". The record is from RNAcentral.